This 408-nucleotide ribosomal RNA is filed under the name Candidatus Accumulibacter phosphatis. RNAcentral's name for it is "bacterial SSU rRNA". It matches the Rfam family "Bacterial small subunit ribosomal RNA", at positions 447 to 857 of the family's 1533-position model. The record is from RNAcentral. Lineage: Bacteria; Pseudomonadati; Pseudomonadota; Betaproteobacteria.
GGUUAAUACCCUGUGUAGAUGACGGUACCGGAAUAAGAAGCACCGGCUAACUACGUGCCAGCAGCCGCGGUAAUACGUAGGGUGCGAGCGUUAAUCGGAAUUACUGGGCGUAAAGCGUGCGCAGGCGGUUUUGUAAGACAGGCGUGAAAUCCCCGGGCUCAACCUGGGAACUGCGUUUGUGACUGCAAGGCUAGAGUAUGGCAGAGGGGGGUGGAAUUCCACGUGUAGCAGUGAAAUGCGUAGAGAUGUGGAGGAACACCGAUGGCGAAGGCAGCCCCCUGGGCCAAUACUGACGCUCAUGCACGAAAGCGUGGGUAGCAAACAGGAUUAGAUACCCUGGUAGUCCACGCCCUAAACGAUGUCAACUAGGUGUUGGGAGGGUAAAACCUUUUAGUGCCGUAGCUAACA